UACGAAGGGGGCUAGCGUUGCUCGGAAUCACUGGGCGUAAAGGGUGCGUAGGCGGGGAUUUAAGUCAGGGGUGAAAUCCUGGAGCUCAACUCCAGAACUGCCUUUGAUACUGAGUAUCUUGAGUACGGGAGAGGUGAGUGGAACUGCGAGUGUAGAGGUGAGAUUCGUAGAUAUUCGCAAGAACACCAGUGGCGAAGGCGGCUCACUGGCCCGUUACUGACGCUGAGGCACGAAAGCGUGGGGAGCAAACAGG
Molecule: ribosomal RNA, 253 nt
Filed under: uncultured bacterium
Lineage: Bacteria
Description: partial 16S ribosomal RNA
Rfam family: Bacterial small subunit ribosomal RNA
Source: RNAcentral